This 472-nucleotide ribosomal RNA is filed under the name uncultured bacterium. RNAcentral describes it as "bacterial SSU rRNA". It matches the Rfam family "Bacterial small subunit ribosomal RNA", at positions 28 to 526 of the family's 1533-position model. The record is from RNAcentral.
AAUGAACGUUGGCGGCGUGGAUUAGGCAUGCAAGUCGAACGCCCCGCAAGGGGAGUGGCGCAAGGGUGAGUAAGGCGACGGUAACCAACCCCGCGGUUGGGCAUAGCCGAGGGAAACCUCGGGUAAUUCCCAGCGAUGUUCUGGAGUGGCAUCACUCGAGAACCAAAGAUUUAUCGUCGCGGGACGGGCCGUUGUGGUAUUAGCUUGUUGGUGAGGUAACGGCUCACCAAGGCGGCGAUGCCUACCGGGUGUGCGAGCAUGACCCGGCACACUGGGACUGAGACACUGCCCAGACUCCUACGGGAGGCUGCAGUCGAGAAUCUUCGGCAAUGGGCGCAAGCCUGACCGAGCGACGCCGCGUGGAGGACGAAGGCCUUCGGGUUGUAAACUCCUGUCGAGGGGGAGGAAGCUUCGGUUGACCGAUCCCUGGAGGAAGGACGGGCUAAGUUCGUGCCAGCCGCCGCAGUAAAAC